GUCCCUGUAGCUCAGAUGUAGAGCUUCAGCCUUGCAUGCAAAAGGUUCUGGGUUCAAUCCCUGGCAUUUCCAGUUAGGGCU
This is a non-coding RNA of Podarcis lilfordi (Lilford's wall lizard), 81 nucleotides long. The record is from the annotation of a GenBank genome assembly. Lineage: Eukaryota; Metazoa; Chordata; Lepidosauria; Squamata; Lacertidae.